UUGAUUCAGUGAUGCUUGAUGCCGAGAGAGAGAGAGGGCAUCGGCAACACCAGAAGUCGAUGUGAGAGGAUACCAGUGCUGAAUACCAGGCGACUUUUCAGAAAACGCUGAAUUGAUGGACCCAAGGAACCCAAAGGCGAGCCGGAACCAAGAAAAGGAAUUCAACUGAACAUACCUCCCAAACUGCAGUGUGGUUCCACACUGGCACCAUUUCUCAAACCGUGAGGAGGCUCCACAAGGCCCAACAUGAUGCCAGCAAAUGUUAUGAUGCACAUUUAAGUGUGUCUUCACCCCACAAUUCUAAGGUGACCACCUUUCUGGCACAGGACGUUUCAUUGGCC
Long non-coding RNA from Salarias fasciatus (jewelled blenny), 341 nucleotides. RefSeq lists it as uncharacterized. Lineage: Eukaryota; Metazoa; Chordata; Actinopteri; Blenniiformes; Blenniidae. The transcript has 3 exons. The record is from RefSeq and is a predicted model, not a curated record.